RNAcentral lists this unclassified non-coding RNA (253 nucleotides) under uncultured Gammaproteobacteria bacterium. RNAcentral describes it as "contains 16S-23S intergenic spacer region". It matches the Rfam family "Bacterial small subunit ribosomal RNA", at positions 524 to 776 of the family's 1533-position model. The record is from RNAcentral. Lineage: Bacteria; Pseudomonadati; Pseudomonadota; Gammaproteobacteria.
UACGGAGGGGACUAGCGUUGUUCGGAACUACUGGGCGUAAAGCGCGCGUAGGCGGCGUGAUAAGCCGGUUGUGAAAGCCCUGGGCUCAACCCGGGAAUUGCAUUCGAUACUGCCGGGCUAGAGUAUGGUAGAGGGAAGUGGAAUUUCCGGUGUAGCGGUGAAAUGCGUAGAUAUCGGAAGGAACACCAGUGGCGAAGGCGUCUUCCUGGGCCAAUACUGACGCUGAGGCGCGAAAGCGUGGGUAGCAAACAGG